RNAcentral lists this ribosomal RNA (498 nucleotides) under uncultured bacterium. RNAcentral's name for it is "partial 16S ribosomal RNA". It matches the Rfam family "Bacterial small subunit ribosomal RNA", at positions 28 to 507 of the family's 1533-position model. The record is from RNAcentral.
GACGAACGCUGGCGGCGUGCUUAACACAUGCAAGUCGAACGGGCCUGUCUUCUUUUUGAGGGUGGGUUGAGUGGCGAACGGGUGAGUAUCACGUGAGUAACCUGCCCUUCGGUCCUGGAUAACCGCUUGAAAGGGCGGCUAAUACGGGGUGGUCCGGUUGGUCCGCAUGGGCUGGUCGGGAUAGAUUCACUGUUUUUGGUGUUUCGGCGGGGGAUGGGCUCGCGGCCUAUCAGCUUGUUGGUGGGGUGAUGGCCUACCAAGGCGGUGACGGGUAGCCGGCCUGAGAGGGUGGGCGGCCACACUGGGACUGAGAUACGGCCCAGACUCCUGCGGGAGGCAGCAGUGGGGGGUAUUGCACAAUGGGCGGAAGCCUGAUGCAGCGACGUCGCGUGAGGGAUGGAGGCCUUCGGGUUGUGAACCUCUGUUUCCGGUGGUGAAGGCCCUGUCCGUGUGGUGGGGUUGACGGUAGCCGGGGAUGAAGCGCCGGCUAACUACGUG